GCGGAGGAGCAUGUGGUUUAAUUCGAUGAUACGCGAGGACCUUACCUGGGCUCGAACGUAAGAUGACUGUAGGUGAAAGCUUACAUCUCUUCGGAGCAUUUUACGAGGUGCUGCAUGGUUGUCGUCAGCUCGUGCCGUGAGGUGUCGGGUUAAGUCCCAUAACGAGCGCAACCCCUACCUUUAGUUGCCAUCAGGUAAUGCUGGGGACUCUAAAGGAACUGCCUACGCAAGUAGUGAGGAAGGCGGGGAUGACGUCAAAUCAGCACGGCCCUUACGUCCAGGGCUACACACGUGCUACAAUGGCCGAUACAGAGGGCAGCUACCUGGUGACAGGAUGCAAAUCUCCAAAGUCGGUCUCAGUUCGGAUCGGAGUCUGCAACCCGACUCCGUGAAGUUGGAUUCGCUAGUAAUCGCGCAUCAGCCAUGGCGCGGUGAAUACGUUCCCGGGCCUU
Molecule: ribosomal RNA, 452 nt
Filed under: uncultured Sphingobacteriales bacterium
Lineage: Bacteria; Pseudomonadati; Bacteroidota; Sphingobacteriia; Sphingobacteriales
Description: bacterial SSU rRNA
Rfam family: Bacterial small subunit ribosomal RNA
Source: RNAcentral